GUCGCGCGCCUUCCCCGCCCCUGGCGCGCGGCAUAUUUAAGGGGGCCCCGGGAGGGUUGGGGCCCUUUUGCGCACCCCGGGGGGCUUGGGUGAGCUCGUCGGUGCCGGUCGGUCCGGCGACGGGACCGUGUGCGCUAGCUGUGUGACUUGCGGGCGGCUCCGUCCGUGCCGCAGGCCCAGCACCGGAGCCGUAGCUUGGGCCGCCGGGCGGCCAUGCGGGCCCUCCGGCAGCCGACCGGGGAGAGAUGGACCCGGGCUCAGAGCUGCUGCCGCUGCCUCCCCGAGGCAGCUCCUCCGGCAGAGCAUGUGCUCGUCCGAGUAGCAGAGCAGAGCCAUUUCCCGCUGUUUUCAGAGGAAUUAAAACUAUUAUCUGCUGUUCAGCGUCAGCGGGGUUGGAACUGGAUGAUCUUUAAGAUCCCUUCCAACCCCAACCAGCCUGUGGUUAUAAGUCCAGUUCUGGCAGCGCAAAACAGUAUAACCUCAGGAACUGAAGGGGCGGGUUGCUGGCACCGUUCCCUUAACGGCGUAAGGCAUCACUUAAAAGGCAGCAAGUGA
This 555-nucleotide long non-coding RNA is filed under the name Amazona collaria (yellow-billed parrot). Its description in RNAcentral is "lncRNA (ENSACOG00000007724.1)". The record is from RNAcentral. Lineage: Eukaryota; Metazoa; Chordata; Aves; Psittaciformes; Psittacidae.